This 527-nucleotide ribosomal RNA is filed under the name uncultured bacterium. RNAcentral's name for it is "bacterial SSU rRNA". It matches the Rfam family "Bacterial small subunit ribosomal RNA", at positions 153 to 656 of the family's 1533-position model. The record is from RNAcentral.
GAAAGCGACGCUAAUACCGGAUAACAUCUUAAGGACUUUGGUUCUUUUGAUCAAAGGUGGCCUCUCCUUGGAAGCUAUUGUUUGGAGAUGAGCCCGCGUCCCAUUAGCUAGUUGGUGGGGUAAUGGCCUACCAAGGCCGCGAUGGGUAGCUGGUCUGAGAGGAUGAUCAGCCACACUGGAACUGACACACGGUCCAGACUCCUACGGGAGGCAGCAGUGAGGAAUUUUGCGCAAUGGGGGCAACCCUGACGCAGCAACGCCGCGUGAGUGAUGAAGGCUUUCGGGUCGUAAAGCUCUGUCAAGUGGGAAGAACUCCCGUGAGGUUAAUACCCUCAUGGUUUGACGGUACCACUGAAGGAAGCACCGGCUAACUCCGUGCCAGCAGCCGCGGUAAUACGGGGGGUGCAAGCGUUAUUCGGAUUUACUGGGCGUAAAGCGCGCGUAGGCGGCCGUUUAAGUCAGAUGUGAAAGCCCGGGGCUCAACCCCGGAAGUGCAUUUGAUACUAUUCGGCUUGAGUAUGGGGAGA